This 260-nucleotide ribosomal RNA is filed under the name uncultured archaeon. Its description in RNAcentral is "partial 16S ribosomal RNA". It matches the Rfam family "Archaeal small subunit ribosomal RNA", at positions 748 to 1008 of the family's 1478-position model. The record is from RNAcentral.
UAGGCGUAAAUGAUGCGAGUUAAGUGUGGGGGCAUCUACGAGAUGGCCCUGUGCUGUAGGGUAGCCGUUAAACUCGCUGCCUGGGGAGUACGGUCGCAAGGCUGAAACUUAAAGGAUUGGCGGGGGAGCACCACAACGGGUGGAGCCUGCGGUUUAAUUGGAUUCAACGCCGGAAAUCUUACCGGGACCGACAGCAACAUGAAGGCCAAGCUGAAGACUUUGCCGGAUUAGCUGAGAGGUGGUGCAUGGCGUCAGUGACU